RNAcentral lists this transfer RNA (67 nucleotides) under Eurycercus lamellatus. RNAcentral's name for it is "tRNA-Phe". It matches the Rfam family "tRNA". From Rfam's summary of the family: Transfer RNA (tRNA) molecules are approximately 80 nucleotides in length. Their secondary structure includes four short double-helical elements and three loops (D, anti-codon, and T loops). Lineage: Eukaryota; Metazoa; Arthropoda; Branchiopoda; Diplostraca; Eurycercidae. The record is from RNAcentral.
GUUUUUGUAGCUUAAAUUUAAAGCGUGACAUUGAAGCUGUCAAAAUGGACUUUUUGUCCUAAGAACA